Molecule: ribosomal RNA, 262 nt
Filed under: uncultured bacterium
Lineage: Bacteria
Description: partial 16S ribosomal RNA
Rfam family: Bacterial small subunit ribosomal RNA
Source: RNAcentral
CCGCGGUAAUACGUAGGGUCCGAGCGUUGUCCGGAAUUACUGGGCGUAAAGAGCUCGUAGGUGGUUUGUCGCGUUGUUCGUGAAAACUCACAGCUCAACUGUGGGCGUGCGGGCGAUACGGGCAGACUUGAGUACUGCAGGGGAGACUGGAAUUCCUGGUGUAGCGGUGGAAUGCGCAGAUAUCAGGAGGAACACCGGUGGCGAAGGCGGGUCUCUGGGCAGUAACUGACGCUGAGGAGCGAAAGCGUGGGGAGCGAACAGG